Molecule: non-coding RNA, 854 nt
Filed under: Gibbosula crassa
Lineage: Eukaryota; Metazoa; Mollusca; Bivalvia; Unionida; Margaritiferidae
Source: RNAcentral
UUUAUAUUUCAUUGACGUACAAAGUUAAUUACACUAAUUAAACUACAUAUGGCAGCAAACACGCACUGUGAUAAACCAAAACCUCACCUGCGCCUUAAACAGGCGUAUCAAGGCCACGGCCAAGACACUACUCAGUAAAUCUUAGGUCUUCAUUGUCACCCACAACACCAAUGUCCUAUAUUAUAGUAGCUAGGAAACUAGGCCUUAGAAAAAAGUAUAAAGAGUGACAAAAGGGGUGCCAGCAGUCGCGGUUACACCCCUACUCUAAGUUAACUAACUCCACCACAGAGAGAAGACUCCAACUCAACCAAGACUACCAAGCCAACUUACAAUGUAAAAAGAUAAAUUUCUAAGCUAAAACCGACUAAGUCAUCUAAAUCUGCUCUUACAAACCACAAAACGAAACUCGGAUUAGAUACCCGACUAUUGCGUGGCCCAACAAAAAGAACACUAAAAGCGAAAGCUUAAACCUCAAACAAUGUGGCGGUACUUUACUCCAUGUCAGGGGAUCCUGUGUCUUAAAUCGAUAAUCCACGAACAAUCAAAGCUCCUCUAGCAAUCAGCUUGUGUAUGGCCGUUUACGCUUGCUCAGAGAAGACUCAAUAGGAAGCAAAGGGAGAAAACCCCAACAAUUCAGGUGACAUACAGCCAAUGAGAAGCUGACCAUGGGAUACAAAUAAACAGCAUUACCAAAUUAGGCCCUAAACUUCCUAUGAAGGAGGACUUGAAAGUAAAAUAACACACAUAAAGUGUAUUUGAAUAAGAACUAAAGUGCGCACAAAUCGCCCGUCACUCCUGCAGCUAAAGCGGGAUAAGUCGUAACAUAGUAGGGGUAAUGGAAAUUGCCCCUAUCC